GAAUUCAACUCCUACGGGAGGCAGCAGUGGGGAAUUUUGGACAGUGGGCGCAAGCCUGAUCCAGCCAUUCCGCGUGCAGGAUGAAGGCCUUCGGGUUGUAAACUGCUUUUGUACGGAACGAAAAGGCUUUCUCUAAUACAGAGAGCUCAUGACGGUACCGUAAGAAUAAGCACCGGCUAACUACGUGCCAGCAGCCGCGGUAAUACGUAGGGUGCAAGCGUUAAUCGGAAUUACUGGGCGUAAAGCGUGCGCAGGCGGUGAUGUAAGACAGAUGUGAAAUCCCCGGGCUCAACCUGGGAACUGCAUUUGUGACUGCAUCGCUGGAGUGCGGCAGAGGGGGAUGGAAUUCCGCGUGUAGCAGUGAAAUGCGUAGAUAUGCGGAGGAACACCGAUGGCGAAGGCAAUCCCCUGGGCCUGCACUGACGCUCAUGCACGAAAGCGUGGGGAGCAAACAGGAUUAGAAACCCUUGUAGUCCAGGCGUU
Molecule: ribosomal RNA, 483 nt
Filed under: uncultured bacterium
Lineage: Bacteria
Description: bacterial SSU rRNA
Rfam family: Bacterial small subunit ribosomal RNA
Source: RNAcentral